RNAcentral lists this ribosomal RNA (460 nucleotides) under uncultured bacterium. RNAcentral's name for it is "partial 16S ribosomal RNA". It matches the Rfam family "Bacterial small subunit ribosomal RNA", at positions 338 to 795 of the family's 1533-position model. The record is from RNAcentral.
CCUACGGGAGGCAGCAGUGAGGAAUAUUGGUCAAUGGACGAGAGUCUGAACCAGCCAAGUAGCGUGAAGGAUGACUGCCCGAUGGGUUGUAAACUUCUUUUAUAUGGGAAUAAAAUGUUCCACGUGUGGGAUUUUGUAUGUACUAUAUGAAUAAGGAUCGGCUAACUCCGUGCCAGCAGCCGCGGUAAGACGGAGGAUCCGAGCGUUAUCCGGAUUUAUUGGGGUUAAAGGGAGCGUAGGUGGAUUUGUAAGUCAGUUGUGAAAGUUUGCGGCUCAACCGUAAAAUAGCAGUUGAAACUGGCAGUCUUGAGUACAGUAGAGGUGGGCGGAAUUCGUGGUGUAGCGGUGAAAUGCUUAGAUAUCACGAAGAACUCCGAUUGCGAAGGCAGUUCACUGGACUGCAACUGACACUGAGGCUCGAAAGUGUGGGUAUCAAACAGGAUUAGAUACCCUAGUAGUC